GUAGGGAAUAUUGGACAAUGGGCGAAAGCCUGAUCCAGCCAUGCCGCGUGAUAGAUGAAGGCCCUCUGGGUUGUAAAUAUCUUUUAUCUGGGAAGAAACUCCUCUAUUCUUAGAGGCCUGACGGUACCAGAGGAAUAAGCACCGGCUAACUCCGUGCCAGCAGCCGCGGUAAUACGGAGGGUGCAAGCGUUAUCCGGAUUCACUGGGUUUAAAGGGUGCGUAGGCGGGUUGAUAAGUCAGUGGUGAAAGCUCCGGGCUUAACUUGGAAACUGCCAUUGAUACUGUCAGUCUUGAAUGUCGUAGAGGUAAGCGGAAUGUUGCAUGUAGCGGUGAAAUGCUUAGAUAUGUUACAGAACACCAAUUGCGAAGGCAGCUUACUAUGCGAUAAUUGACGCUGAGGCACGAAAGCGUGGGGAGCAAACAGGAUUAGAUACCCCGGUAGUCC
Molecule: ribosomal RNA, 445 nt
Filed under: uncultured bacterium
Lineage: Bacteria
Description: bacterial SSU rRNA
Rfam family: Bacterial small subunit ribosomal RNA
Source: RNAcentral